Molecule: ribosomal RNA, 468 nt
Filed under: uncultured bacterium
Lineage: Bacteria
Description: partial 16S ribosomal RNA
Rfam family: Bacterial small subunit ribosomal RNA
Source: RNAcentral
GACGAACGCUGGCGGCGUGCUUAACACAUGCAAGUCGAACGGAAAGGCCCUGCUUUUGUGGGGUGCUCGAGUGGCGAACGGGUGAGUAACACGUGAGUAACCUGCCCUUGACUUUGGGAUAACUUCAGGAAACUGGGGCUAAUACCGGCUAGGAGCUCCUGCUGCAUGGUGGGGGUUGGAAAGUUUCGGCGGUUGGGGAUGGACUCGCGGCUUAUCAGCUUGUUGGUGGGGUAGUGGCUUACCAAGGCUUUGACGGGUAGCCGGCCUGAGAGGGUGACCGGCCACAUUGGGACUGAGAUACGGCCCAGACUCCUACGGGAGGCAGCAGUGGGGAAUAUUGCACAAUGGGCGGAAGCCUGAUGCAGCAACGCCGCGGGCGGGAUGACGGCCUUCGGGUUGUAAACCGCUUUCGCCUGUGACGAAGCGUGAGUGACGGUAAUGGGUAAAGAAGCACCGGCUAACUACGUG